This 260-nucleotide long non-coding RNA is filed under the name Panax ginseng (ginseng). RNAcentral's name for it is "long non-coding RNA (PGIN_LNC009723)". Lineage: Eukaryota; Viridiplantae; Streptophyta; Magnoliopsida; Apiales; Araliaceae. The record is from RNAcentral.
UUCAAUGUCGAUGAUAGCUUUUCUUACAAUUUUGGUGGAAGUCUUGGUAAUUAAGAGAGAGUAAAGAGGUGGAUUGGGUCGGAUGUGGGGAACAGAGAGAGAGAAGAUAGAAUAAUUCUAAGAAAGAAAAUAACACUGCAGAUUGUUUAACUCUUCACAGCUCUCCUUUGGCAAAUAACGAUUUAGCUUACUCAUGCUGCUAACUUUCUAUUUAUUUGACAGCUCAAGCUUAUAGUUUAGCUUAGUCAUCUUCAUAAGGC